GUAUCCUUCUGCUAGAUAUUUUCUUGUCGAGAUAAUUACACCCCUAAACAUAAUUGAGUUCAAUAAUCAGAAAGGACAUAAAUAAUUAAAAAAGAUAUGAUGCAUCGUAGUCAUAUCCUAUGGUCUAGGUCCAAUCAUGUUAACUUUAUCCAAUUAAGGAUGAUCAAAUCUAAAGAUUCUCAAUCUGAUCAAGGUAGGUGCC
Molecule: long non-coding RNA, 202 nt
Filed under: Elaeis guineensis (African oil palm)
Lineage: Eukaryota; Viridiplantae; Streptophyta; Magnoliopsida; Arecales; Arecaceae
Description: long non-coding RNA (EGUI_LNC022183)
Source: RNAcentral